Molecule: unclassified non-coding RNA, 197 nt
Filed under: plant metagenome
Description: partial contains small subunit ribosomal RNA, internal transcribed spacer 1, and 5.8S ribosomal RNA
Source: RNAcentral
UCUCCGUUGGUGAACCAGCGGAGGGAUCAUUACCGAGUUAACAACUCCCAAACCCCUGUGAACAUACCUAUCGUUGCCUCGGCGGUGCCCGCUCCGGCGGCCCGCCAGAGGACCCCCAAACUCUUGUUUUAUACAGUAUCUUCUGAGUAACCCGAUUAAAUAAAUCAAAACUUUCAACAACGGAUCUCUUGGUUCUG